UACAACAAUUGCUAAAGGAACUUCUGUAAACAGAAAAGAAGAGGCAACAGCUAGAAACAGGAAAAUUACAAAAUGGUAAAGCUCACCAGUACAGGUGAACAUACAGUAAGGGUAGGAAAUCAUCUACACACAAAUACGGUAUCAAAACAGUAAUUGUGAGAGAAGGAGAGCAAAAAUGCAGGAUAUUUGAGAUGCAUUUGAAAUUAAGAGACCAGCAACUUAAAACAAUCAUGUAUACAUAUAGACUGCUAUAUCAAAACCACAUGGUAACCACAAAUGAAAAAUCUAAAAUAGAU
Molecule: long non-coding RNA, 296 nt
Organism: Aethalodelphis obliquidens (Pacific white-sided dolphin)
Lineage: Eukaryota; Metazoa; Chordata; Mammalia; Artiodactyla; Delphinidae
Exons: 3
Source: RefSeq, a predicted model, not a curated record